GCAUGCGCAGUGGAAAGUUCUCUGCCCACGAUGGGAAGUUCUCUGGGCUAGUGGCCUCGUAGGCUCCUGCCUGGCCUGGCCUGGCCUGGCCUCUCUGAGGCCAUCUGAGCACCCACAGUGCCUGCAUAGAGCCCGGCAACCAGCAGGCCUAUGAUAAAUGCUCCCAAGCCCAUGAAUGGAUGGGACAAACCUUAGCUUCUCCACUGGACCGUUUCAUCUCUGAGUUUGUCCUAAUGUUUACCUAGGAGGACCCAGACCAUCCACCGGCAACCGGCCCAGGAGAAAAUGGUUCGAAAUUAACAAACUUUCCCCAAGCUCUCUUCCCCCCUCCCCCCCCACCUCCGUUCUUCCAGCACCGCCCCCCUGCCCCCCACCACGCACCGCUCCACACACAAAGAAACAAAAGCAAAGGCUGCUGGGGCCACAAAGGAUCUCAGAGCAUCCAGUCCAGCCCCCUGAGAGGCAGCAGAAGGCAUGAAUAUUCGCAAAAUGGGAUAAACACUACAAACAACUUUACAUCUAUUCAAGGUGGAUUUUGCUGCUAAAUGAGUUCACCACCAACUAAUGAAUUUCCAGGUCAGUGUUUGGCAGAUGAGGAACUGAGGCCGGGAGAGGCGAAUGCCAUGCCCAAGGGCACACAGUGGGGCGUGGCAGAGCCCAGGUGGAACCAGCUCUGCUUCCAACACCAAUGACUGCUCUUUGUACCAGACCCUAAAGCCCUCCCUUCCUUUAACCCUUCCGGAACCUCAAACUGAACUCCCCCCUGAGGACGGUCAGUACAGGGAACACUCGCAUUUCGUCUCUCUCUACCUUCUAUGUGCUCACCAGAGCGCAAAUUAAGCUCCCUGGGAACGUGGGCACCUAUGGAAGAAGCCACCUCCUCGUCCAAGUUGUUCACGUUCGAGAGAGAGAGUACAAGAGGUGUGCUGAGACCGACAGCCAGUGGGAUUCUACCUCCCGGAGAAAGGAACAGACCGGAAGGAGGGAAGGACACUGGAAGGAAAGCAGAGGACCUGGCCAAGUUACGGUUGGUGGCUCUUCUCUUUUCUCUGCUUGUCUGUGUUUCCUGAGUUUUCCACCCGGUACUACCGUAUUCUGUUUGCAAUUCUGUCGCCCGGAAGGGAGGCGGCAAAGCUCAACAGCAACAACAGAAACAAACAAAGCCACCAACUGCACACCCGGGCUCGACACUCCCGCCUGUGACGGACCUAUGGGCAUUUGUUUCCAACAAAUUGCUGGAUGCGGUUACAGUAUCUGAGUUUUUGUUUUGAAGGCAUCCCUAAGGGGAAGGCAUGUGCCUUUACCUGUUGAAAGAAUCAAGGAACAAAUGAACGAAGGUCUCUUCAGGAGGCAGGGAACCUGUCCCUCCCUCCAGCCCCCAUCAUCCCAUCCCGCAUGGCUCUUGUCAGCCUUGGCUCAUUCGGCUUAAAUUACAACCGGUCACACUCAAGGUCGGCUUCCCAACUGGGCUAAGUUCUUUCUACAAAGACAGUCUCCUGUGCCUCCCAGU
Long non-coding RNA from Prionailurus viverrinus (fishing cat), 1510 nucleotides. RefSeq lists it as uncharacterized. The record is from RefSeq and is a predicted model, not a curated record. NCBI's taxonomy places the organism in Eukaryota, Metazoa, Chordata, Mammalia, Carnivora, Felidae. The transcript is spliced from 3 exons.